AUGGAGUUCGGCGAGCAUAGAGUGGAGACCCGCGCGAGGGAGACGGAUCUCUCGGUGGUGUACACCAUCGACCCGGUCGUGGUUAUUCAUGUGUGUACACGAUGGCUCCGUACUUGGUCUAUCCUGCAGAGGCCGGAGGAUAGAGACCUUUUUAUGAUGGCGUCUACACGGCUGGAGCAUACGGCCAGGGAGGUUUUCUACCCCCAUGGAUGGCGGUGUGACCUACGGAUAGGAUAUGCCACUCCUUAG
This 249-nucleotide ribosomal RNA is filed under the name Triticum aestivum (bread wheat). RNAcentral describes it as "partial small subunit ribosomal RNA". Lineage: Eukaryota; Viridiplantae; Streptophyta; Magnoliopsida; Poales; Poaceae. The record is from RNAcentral.